Molecule: ribosomal RNA, 469 nt
Filed under: uncultured bacterium
Lineage: Bacteria
Description: bacterial SSU rRNA
Rfam family: Bacterial small subunit ribosomal RNA
Source: RNAcentral
CCUACGGGGAGGCAGCAGUGGGGAAUAUUGCACAAUGGGGGAAACCCUGAUGCAGCCAUGCCGCGUGUGUGAAGAAGGCCUUACGGGUUGUAAAGCACUUUCAGUAGGGAGGAAGGUAGUGUAGUUAACACCUGCAUUAUUUGACGUUACCUACAGAAGAAGCACCGGCUAACUCCGUGCCAGCAGCCGCGGUAAUACGGAGGGGUGCGAGCGUUAAUCGGAAUUACUGGGCGUAAAGCGCAUGCAGGCGGCUUGUUAAGUCAGAUGUGAAAGCCCGGGGCUUAACCUCGGAAUUGCAUUUGAAACUGGCAGGCUAGAGUCUUGUAGAGGGGGGUAGGAAUUUCAGGUGUAGCGGUGAAAUAGCGUAGAGAUCUGAAGGAAUACCAGUGGCGAAGGCGGCCCCCUCGGACAAAGACUGACGCUCAGAUGCGAAAGCGUGGGGAGCAAACAGGAUUAGAUACCCUGGUAG